GACGAACGCUGGCGGCGUGCUUAACACAUGCAAGUCGAACGGAAAGGCCCUGCUUGCAGGGUACUCGAGUGGCGAACGGGUGAGUAACAUGGGAGAGGUGUGCUUCACACGUGGGCAAGCUACCGCUAACGGGGGUAUAACCGCGGAGAAGCGAGAUUUAUAGUGAUUGUGGGAAAGAUUUGUCGUUGUAGGAUUGGUACGCGGACUAUGAGCUUAUUUGGGGGGGAGUGGCCUACGCAGGCGGGGACGGGUACCCGGCCUCAGAGGGUGGACGGCCACAGUGGGACUGGGACUCAGCCCAGAUCCCUACGCGAGGCAGAAGUGGGGAAUAUUGCAAAAGGGGCGCGAGCCUGAUGCAGCUACGCCGAGGGGGGGAUGACGGCCUUCGGGUUGGAAACGCCUUUCGCUAGGGACGAAGCUUUUUGUGACGGUACCUAGAUAAGAAGCACCGGCUAACUACGUG
RNAcentral lists this ribosomal RNA (463 nucleotides) under uncultured bacterium. RNAcentral describes it as "partial 16S ribosomal RNA". It matches the Rfam family "Bacterial small subunit ribosomal RNA", at positions 28 to 507 of the family's 1533-position model. The record is from RNAcentral.